CAGUCGCCACGGGAAUACGUAGGGUGCGAGCGUUAAUCGGAAUUACUGGGCGUAAAGCGUGCGCAGGCGGUUGUGUAAGACAGGUGUGAAAUCCCCGGGCUUAACCUGGGAACUGCGCUUGUGACUGCACAGCUAGAGUAUGGCAGAGGGGGGUGGAAUUCCACGUGUAGCAGUGAAAUGCGUAGAGAUGUGGAGGAACACCGAUGGCGAAGGCAGCCCCCUGGGCCAAUACUGACGCUCAUGCACGAAAGCGUGGGGAGCAAACAGGAUUAGAUACCCGAGUAGUCCCUGUCUUUUAUAC
RNAcentral lists this ribosomal RNA (301 nucleotides) under uncultured bacterium. Its description in RNAcentral is "partial 16S ribosomal RNA". It matches the Rfam family "Bacterial small subunit ribosomal RNA", at positions 509 to 809 of the family's 1533-position model. The record is from RNAcentral.